UAUUUAGGUAGUGCCUCGAGUAUGAGACUGAUGGGGGUAAAGCACUGUUAUGGCUAGGGGGUUAUUGCAACUUACCAACCCAUGGCAAACUAAGAAUACCAUCAAGUUGCUCCUCGGGAGACAGACAUCGGGUGCUAACGUCCGGUGUCAAGAGGGAAACAACCCAGACCGCCAGCUAAGGUCCCAAAUGAUAGAUUAAGUGGUAAACGAAGUGGGAAGGCACAGACAGCCAGGAUGUUGGCUUAGAAGCAGCCAUCAUUUAAAGAAAGCGUAAUAGCUCACUGGUCGAGUCUUCCUGCGCGGAAGAUGUAACGGGGCUCAAAUCUAUAACCGAAGCUGCGGAUAUACUUUUGUAUAUGGUAGGGGAGCGUUCUGUAGGCCUGUGAAGGUGACUUGUAAAGGUUGCUGGAGGUAUCAGAAGUGCGAA
This 427-nucleotide ribosomal RNA is filed under the name Kingella kingae. Its description in RNAcentral is "partial 23S ribosomal RNA". It matches the Rfam family "Bacterial large subunit ribosomal RNA", at positions 867 to 1294 of the family's 2925-position model. The record is from RNAcentral. Lineage: Bacteria; Pseudomonadati; Pseudomonadota; Betaproteobacteria; Neisseriales; Neisseriaceae.